This 253-nucleotide ribosomal RNA is filed under the name uncultured bacterium. Its description in RNAcentral is "partial 16S ribosomal RNA". It matches the Rfam family "Bacterial small subunit ribosomal RNA", at positions 524 to 776 of the family's 1533-position model. The record is from RNAcentral.
UACGGAGGGUGAGAGCGUUACCCGGAUUUACUGGGUGUAAAGGGCGUGUAGGCGGUCUCUCAAGUCCGAUGCUAAAGACCGAAGCUCAACUUCGGGGGUGCGUUGGAUACUGUGAGGCUAGACGGUCGGAGGGGGUAGCGGAAUUUCCGGAGCAGCGGUGAAAUGCGCAGAUACCGGAAGGAACGCCGAUAGCGAAGGCAGCUACCUGGACGAUUGGUGACGCUGAGGCGAGAAAGCGUGGGGAGCAAACCGG